RNAcentral lists this ribosomal RNA (253 nucleotides) under uncultured bacterium. RNAcentral's name for it is "partial 16S ribosomal RNA". It matches the Rfam family "Bacterial small subunit ribosomal RNA", at positions 524 to 776 of the family's 1533-position model. The record is from RNAcentral.
UACGUAGGUGGCAAGCGUUGUCCGGAUUUACUGGGUGUAAAGGGCGUGUAGGCGGGGCAGCAGGUCAGAUGUGAAAUGCCAAGGCUUAACCUUGGAGCUGCAUUUGAAACCUCUGUUCUUGAGUGUCGGAGAGGAAAGCGGAAUUCCUAGUGUAGCGGUGAAAUGCGUAGAUAUUAGGAGGAACACCAGUGGCGAAGGCGGCUUUCUGGACGAUAACUGACGCUGAGGCGCGAAAGCGUGGGGAGCAAACAGG